RNAcentral lists this ribosomal RNA (449 nucleotides) under uncultured bacterium. Its description in RNAcentral is "partial 16S ribosomal RNA". It matches the Rfam family "Bacterial small subunit ribosomal RNA", at positions 29 to 523 of the family's 1533-position model. The record is from RNAcentral.
AGCGAACGCUGGCGGCAGGCCUAACACAUGCAAGUCGAACGGAUCCUUCGGGAUUAGUGGCGGACGGGUGAGUAACACGUGGGAACGUGCCCUUUGGUUCGGAACAACUCAGGGAAACUUGAGCUAAUACCGGAUGUGCCCUUCGGGGGAAAGAUUUAUCGCCAUUGGAGCGGCCCGCGUCUGAUUAGCUAGUUGGUGAGGUAAAGGCUCACCAAGGCGACGAUCAGUAGCUGGUCUGAGAGGAUGGUCAGCCACGUUGGGACUGAGACACGGCCCAAACUCCUACGGGAGGCAGCAGUGGGGAAUCUUGCGCAAUGGGCGAAAGCCUGACGCAGCCAUGCCGCGUGAGUGAUGAAGGUCUUAGGAUUGUAAAAUUCUUUCACCGGGGACGAUAAUGACGGUACCCGGAGAAGAAGCCCCGGCUAACUUCGUGCCAGCAGCCGCCGUAA